AGUUAUAUAGCUCAGUGGUAGAACACAUGCGUAGAAUGCAUGAGGUCCUAGGUUCAAUCCCCAGUACCUCCA
RNAcentral lists this transfer RNA (72 nucleotides) under Camelus bactrianus (Bactrian camel). It matches the Rfam family "tRNA". Rfam says of the family: Transfer RNA (tRNA) molecules are approximately 80 nucleotides in length. Lineage: Eukaryota; Metazoa; Chordata; Mammalia; Artiodactyla; Camelidae. The record is from Rfam by way of RNAcentral. RNAcentral also lists the same sequence under 1 other name.